CAUAUGCUUGUCUCAAAGAUUAAGCCAUGCAUGUCUAAGUAUAAGCACUCUUUUACUGUGAAACUGCGAAUGGCUCAUUAAAUCAGUUAUCGUUUAUUUGAUAGUACCCUACUACAUGGAUACCUGUGGUAAUUCUAGAGCUAAUACAUGCUUACAACCCCGACUUCGGAAGGGGUGUAUUUAUUAGAUAAAAAACCAAUGCCCUUCGGGGCUCCUUGGUGAUUCAUAAUAACUUCACGAAUCGCAUGGCCUUGCGCCGGCGAUGGUUCAUUCAAAUUUCUGCCCUAUCAACUUUCGAUGGUAGGAUAGUGGCCUACCAUGGUGGCAACGGGUAACGGGGAAUUAGGGUUCGAUUCCGGAGAGGGAGCCUGAGAAACGGCUACCACAUCCAAGGAAGGCAGCAGGCGCGCAAAUUACCCAAUCCCGAUACGGGGAGGUAGUGACAAUAAAUACUGAUACAGGGCUCUUUUGGGUCUUGUAAUUGGAAUGAGAACAAUCUAAAUCCCUUAACGAGGAACAAUUGGAGGGCAAGUCUGGUGCCAGCAGCCGCGGUAAUUCCAGCUCCAAUAGCGUAUAUUAAAGUUGUUGCAGUUAAAAAGCUCGUAGUUGAACCUUGGGCCCGUCCUGCCGGUCCGCCUCACCGCGAGUACUGGUCCGGAUGGGCCUUUCUUUCUGGGGAAUCCCAUGGCCUUCACUGGCU
This 700-nucleotide ribosomal RNA is filed under the name uncultured fungus. RNAcentral describes it as "SSU rRNA". It matches the Rfam family "Eukaryotic small subunit ribosomal RNA", at positions 25 to 727 of the family's 1831-position model. Lineage: Eukaryota; Fungi. The record is from RNAcentral.